This is a non-coding RNA of Aegilops tauschii subsp. strangulata, 1966 nucleotides long. NCBI's taxonomy places the organism in Eukaryota, Viridiplantae, Streptophyta, Magnoliopsida, Poales, Poaceae. The record is from RefSeq and is a predicted model, not a curated record.
GAAAUACAGAGGUGGCAGUGGUGGGUGGUGGGCCAGAUUUGACGGGCAGGCGGACGUCCGUUCGUCGUCGGCGAGGUGAGCCGCGGAUCGGCAUCGGCGUACGCGUCUGAUCCGUGGCCCGGGAAGUUCGCUUGUCUUCUCCGCGGACUGCGGAGUAGAGAGAAGGACCGCCGACGGAGGCGAAGGUCACCUUCACCUCGCCGGCCCUCCCGCCCCUUUCCGCCGCCGCUCGUUCACCUUCUCCCAUGGCCGCCACGGCCCUUCUCUGCCCGUCCUAUCCCCUCCUCCCAUGGCGGCCAUGGCCCUCCUCUGCUGCCCAAUCUAGCCCUCCGCCGCCGCUCUUCCCCCUCCUCCUCUUCCCCUGCUCCACCGUCCCAUCCCUUCCUCCCAUGCUAUUGGAUCCCCUCCUUCUCUGCCACCAGAUCGCCAUCUCCUUUGCCCGUCUCCAUCUCCUCUGUUGCCAGUUCCUCUAACCAUACUUCUAUUUUGUAUAGUUGUAUUGAAUAUAAUUCUAAAAUUUACAUGAUUUGUCUCAUGGAUGAUUUAUGGUUAGCAUAUUUGCCUGAACAUACCAGAUUUGACAUGAUGCCUUUUUUCUUGCUUAUACGUCAUCCAUCUCUAGAACAUUUGAUAUUUUUAAUUGCAAUAUAAUCACUCAAUUAUUGUCACAUAUUAUACAAAUUUUGUUUUCUUGCAUGUUGACCAAAGUAUUAUCUUCAUAAUCAUGUUAUUAUGAAAAAUUAUUUUCGGAUGAAUUACUUUUGCAAUCAUUAAUCCAGGGAUUUGCAGUCAGUAAGCAGAAUCAUGCUUACUGAAUCUAGGCAGUUCAUCCAAGAAAAUGUUGCUUACCGAAUUCAGGCAGUUCAUAUGUGAAUUGGCUGCGUUUGCAGGCUGAGGAUAGAUGCUGCUGCACCGAGCAGAACACGCUGCCCAAAUUGCAUCAGUGUGUUUGAGAAGGCUCUUAAGAGUUAUGCUGACAACCCAGCUGAGAAUGUGAUCACACCAGUUCUUGGCACUACUUUCGGCUUUUUGGACGAGGCGUACGACUUCUACAAUUUGUAAUCGGUGGUCCUGUCUGAUCCGUGGAUCAGGAAGUUCGCUUUCCGUGCACUGGUUGAAGAACCGAAUUGAAUGCAGGACCGAGUCUUCUCGCCCAGGGCGUAGGUCAUUUGGAAGCUGAGACACUUCGGGAUAGAGGCAAGGAGCACCGGCGGCGAGGCACCAUGGAGUUUCUGAUGCAGCUGAUCGACAGAUCUGCUCUGCUUGAGGAAGUAGGUAAGAGUUCGGUGCCGGCCCCUGUGGCUGUGAAUGGCCCUGCGGUGGCGGUUUUGGAGGUGGCGCAGCAGGGUGGAGGGCAAGGUGGCGCAGCAUCGGACGGUGGGCAGCGACGAAGUACAAAUCUUCUCGGCGAAGGAGGCGGCGGCUGAAGAAGGGAGAGCUCGCCUCCGACUUCGGAGCUAUCAACGGGGAAGUUGAAUCCCUAAGCAUCGGGGUGUAACAAGAGGCUUAGGAUUGGUGCUGCCGCACCAAGCAGAACACCGUGCCCAAAUCGAAAAUCAGUGCGUUCGAGAAGGCAGCCAGGUGUUGUGUAGAGAACCCAGCUGAAUACAUGAUCACACCAGUUUUUGGUACUACUUUUGACUCUCUGGGCGAAGCAUACGAGGUGAUUUCUACGAGGGGGAACCGAGGGGGUGCCAUGGCACCCAUGGAACCCCUAUUGGAUCCGCCCCUGCCAGAAGCAUCUGUCAUAUAAGUAGUUGUGUUCGGACCAGCAUGUGGAUAUGUUAAGUUUGGAUGUAUGAUUAUGUGUGAAAAUGAGUAUGGAACCUGAAGCUACAGGUGUUAAAUGCCUGACUGCGAUUUGCUUGCAGUUGAUGUUCAUAUUUGUUAUGAUUCAGCUUUGGGCAGUUGUGUGUGGCCUUUACAUGAGACCAAAAAAUCAGUAAAAGAGUUGGAGUUUGAAAAA